This 1300-nucleotide ribosomal RNA is filed under the name metagenome. RNAcentral describes it as "bacterial LSU rRNA". It matches the Rfam family "Bacterial large subunit ribosomal RNA", at positions 1636 to 2925 of the family's 2925-position model. The record is from RNAcentral.
ACACGACCGUACCGCAAACCGACACUGGUGCGCGAGAUGAGUAUUCUCAGGCGCUUGAGAGAACUCGGGAGAAGGAACUCGGCAAAUUGACACCGUAACUUCGGAAGAAGGUGUGCCUUUAGUAGGUGAAGUCCCUCGCGGAUGGAGCCCAAUGAGGUUGCAAAGAAUCGGUGGCUGCGACUGUUUAAUAAAAACACAGCACUCUGCAAACACAAAAGUGGACGUAUAGGGUGUGACGCCUGCCCGGUGCUGGAAGAUUAAGUGAUGGGGUGCAAGCUCUUGAUCGAAGUCCCAGUAAACGGCGGCCGUAACAAUAACGGUCCUAAGGUAGCGAAAUUCCUUGUCGGGUAAGUUCCGACCUGCACGAAUGGCGUAACGAUGGCCACACUGUCUCCUCCCGAGACUCAGCGAAGUUGAAAUGUUUGUGAUGAUGCAAUCUCCCCGCGGAAAGACGGAAAGACCCCAUGAACCUUUACUGUAGCUUUGUAUUGGACUUUGAACGGAUCUGUGUAGGAUAGGUGGGAGGCUUUGAAGCCGGGUCGCUAGAUCUGGUGGAGCCAACGUUGAAAUACCACCCUGGUGCGUUUGAGGUUCUAACCUAGGCCCGUUAUCCGGGCCGGGGACAGUGCAUGGUAGGCAGUUUGACUGGGGCGGUCUCCUCCCAAAGCGUAACGGAGGAGUUCGAAGGUACGCUAGUUACGGUCGGACAUCGUGACGAUAGUGCAAUGGCAUAAGCGUGCUUAACUGCGAGACUGACAAGUCGAGCAGAUGCGAAAGCAGGACAUAGUGAUCCGGUGGUUCUGUAUGGAAGGGCCAUCGCUCAACGGAUAAAAGGUACUCUGGGGAUAACAGGCUGAUACCGCCCAAGAGUUCAUAUCGACGGCGGUGUUUGGCACCUCGAUGUCGGCUCAUCUCAUCCUGGGGCUGUAGCCGGUCCCAAGGGUAUGGCUGUUCGCCAUUUAAAGAGGUACGUGAGCUGGGUUUAAAACGUCGUGAGACAGUUUGGUCCCUAUCUUCCGUGGGCGCUGCAGAUUUGAGGAAGCCUGCUCCUAGUACGAGAGGACCGGAGUGGACGCACCUCUGGUGUACCUGUUGUCACGCCAGUGGCAUUGCAGGGUAGCUAAGUGCGGAAGAGAUAACCGCUGAAAGCAUCUAAGCGGGAAACUCGUUUCAAGAUGAGAUCUGCCGGGGCCUUGAGCCCCCUGAAGAGUCGUUCUAGACCAGGACGUUGAUAGGUCAGGUGUGGAAGCGCAGUAAUGCGUUAAGCUAACUGAUACUAAUUGCUCGUGCGGCUUGACCA